AGUCGAACGCGAAAGAGGGAGCAAUCCCUCAAGUAGAGUGGCGAACGGGUGAGUAACGCGUGAAGAACCUGCCUUCAACAGGGGGAUAACACUCCCAACGGGGUGCUAAUACCGCAUGAGACCACGGGUCCGCAUGGACCUGAGGUCAAAGGUGGCCUCUGCUUGCAAGCUACCGGUUGAAGAUGGCUUCGCGUCCCAUUAGCUAGUUGGCGGUGUAAAAGACCACCAAGGCGACGAUGGGUAGCUGGUCUGAGAGGAUGGUCAGCCACACUGGGACUGAGAUACGGCCCAGACUCCUACGGGAGGCAGCAGUCGAGAGGCUUUGGCAAUGGGGGAAACCCUGACCAAGCGACGCCGCGUGGAGGAUGAAGGCCCUUGAGUUGUAAACUCCUUUUGUCGGGGAAGAAAUGCGAUCAGGUGAACAAUCUGGUCGUUUGACGGUACCCGGCGAAUAAGCUCCGGCUAACUCCGUGCCAGCAGCCGCGGUAACACGGGGGGAGCAAGCGUUGUUCGGAAUCACUGGGCGUAAAGGGCGUGUAGGCGGUCAGGUAAGUGGGAUGUGAAAUGCCUCGGCUCACCCGGGGACCUGCAUCCCAAACUGCUUGGCUUGAGUAUGGGAGAGGAUGAGGGAAUUCCUGGUGUAGCGGUGAAAUGCGUAGAUAUCAGGAGGAACACCGGUGGCGAAAGCGCUCAUCUGGCC
Molecule: ribosomal RNA, 700 nt
Filed under: uncultured Acidobacteriota bacterium
Lineage: Bacteria; Pseudomonadati; Acidobacteriota
Description: bacterial SSU rRNA
Rfam family: Bacterial small subunit ribosomal RNA
Source: RNAcentral